Molecule: ribosomal RNA, 338 nt
Filed under: uncultured bacterium
Lineage: Bacteria
Description: bacterial SSU rRNA
Rfam family: Bacterial small subunit ribosomal RNA
Source: RNAcentral
GAUGAACGCUAGCGGCGUGCCUAAUACAUGCAAGUCGAACGCAUUGUGGUUGAAAUGAUAUGAAGAACUUGUUCAGAUUUGAUUUUCAACAUUGCAAUGAGUGGCGAACGGGUGAGUAACACGUGGGAAACCUACCUCUUAGCAGGGGAUAACAUUUGGAAACAAAUGCUAAUAACCGUAUAAUAAUUAAAACCGCAUGGUUUUAGUUUAAAAGAUGGUCUUGCUAUCACUAAGAGAUGGUCCCGCGGUGUAUUAGUUAGUUGGUGAGGUAAUGGCUCACCAAGACAAUUGAUACAUAGCCGAGUUGAGAGACUGACCGGCCACAAUGGGACUGAGAC